AUUGAACGCUGGCGGCAGGCCUAACACAUGCAAGUCGAACGGUAACAGGAAGAAGCUUGCUUCUUUGCUGACGAGUGGCGGACGGGCGAGUAAUGUCUGGGAAACUGCCUGAUGGAGGGGGAUAACUACUGGAAACGGUAGCUAAUACCGCAUAAUGUCGCAAGACCAAAGAGGGGGACCUUCGGGCCUCUUGCCAUCGGAUGUGCCCAGAUGGGAUUAGCUAGUAGGUGGGGUAACGGCUCACCUAGGCGACGAUCCCUAGCUGGUCUGAGAGGAUGACCAGCCACACUGGAACUGAGACACGGUCCAGACUCCUACGGGGGGCAGCAGUGGGGAAUAUUGCACAAUGGGCGCAAGCCUGAUGCAGCUAUGCCGCGUGUAUGAAGAAGGCCUUCGGGUUGUAAAGUACUUUCAGCGGGGAGGAAGGGAGUAAAGUUAAUACCUUUGCUCAUUGACGUUACCCGCAGAAGAAGCACCGGCUAACUCCGUG
This 490-nucleotide ribosomal RNA is filed under the name uncultured bacterium. RNAcentral describes it as "partial 16S ribosomal RNA". It matches the Rfam family "Bacterial small subunit ribosomal RNA", at positions 30 to 507 of the family's 1533-position model. The record is from RNAcentral.